Molecule: ribosomal RNA, 440 nt
Filed under: uncultured bacterium
Lineage: Bacteria
Description: partial 16S ribosomal RNA
Rfam family: Bacterial small subunit ribosomal RNA
Source: RNAcentral
CCUACGGGAGGCAGCAGUAGGGAAUAUUGCUCAAUGGGCGAAACCCUGAAGCAGCAACGCCGCGUGGAGGAUGAAGGUUUUCGGAUUGUUAACUCCUUUUGUUAGAGAAGAUAAUGACGGUAUCUAACGAAUUAUCACCGUCUAAUACCGUUCCAGCAGCCGCGGUUAUACGGAGGCUGCAAGCGUUAUACGGAAUCACUGGGCGUAAAGAGGGUGUAGGCGGGUUAGCAAGUCAGAUGUGAAAUCCUAUGGCUUAACCAUAGAACUGCAUUUGAAACUGUUAUUCUAGAGUAUGUGAGAGGUAGGUGGAAUGCGUGGUGUAGGGGUAAAAUGCGUAGAGAUCAAGAGGAAUACUGAUUGCGAAGGCGACCUGCUAGGACAUAACUGACGCUGAUGCGCGAAAGCGUGGGGAGCAAACAGGAUUAGAUACCCCUGUAGUC